CGUUAUUCACGGGAGGCGACCGUUACUUGCAAGUUACGACCGUUUACCCGCUCCAGCGGCGGCCGUUACCCGCCGGCAGCGACUGUUACCUGCUGCUUUGUUUGCGCUGAAACGGAAAAUUGAAGGCGGUAGCAGAAGAAUUUAGAGAACUCAAAUAAUAAGGACUCCUCAAAAAGAUUAUGUGUAUCAGUGGAAUCCUGCUGCAUCCAGUAGUGUGGAGUAAAAACAAAACAAAACAAACCCACAGGGCCCUGUGGAGACUCUCUGCACAAAGGUUCUCUCCUGUGUGUGUGCAUGUGGAAAGGUUCUUCAUGUACCUCCUAAGUUGAGAGAUAUAAUUUGAACGGAGAAAAUUAUGGUUCAUAAAGUGCUCUUGUUAGGUGACAUGACUAUGCUUAGUCCACUGCAGGACAGCCUCCACAG
This is a long non-coding RNA of Nothoprocta perdicaria, 423 nucleotides long. RefSeq lists it as uncharacterized. Lineage: Eukaryota; Metazoa; Chordata; Aves; Tinamiformes; Tinamidae. The record is from RefSeq and is a predicted model, not a curated record. The transcript is spliced from 4 exons.